Molecule: unclassified non-coding RNA, 345 nt
Filed under: soil metagenome
Description: partial contains 5.8S ribosomal RNA, internal transcribed spacer 2, and large subunit ribosomal RNA
Rfam family: 5.8S ribosomal RNA (bases 1-120)
Source: RNAcentral
GAUGAAGAACGUAGCGAAAUGAGAUACGUAAUGUGAAUUGCAGAAUUCAGUGAAUCAUCGAGUCUUUGAACGCACAUUGCGCCCCCUGGUAUUCCGGGGGGCAUGCCUGUCCGAGCGUCAUUGCUGCCCUCAAGCACGGCUUGUGUGUUGGGCCUCCGUCCUCCUCCCGGGGGACGGGCCCGAAAGGCAGCGGCGGCACCGCGUCCGGUCCUCGAGCGUAUGGGGCUUCGUCACCCGCUCUUGUAGGCCCGGCCGGCGCUUGCCGACACAUCAAUCUUUUUUCCAGGUUGACCUCGGAUCAGGCAGGGAUACCCGCUGAACUUAAGCAUAUCAAUAAGCGGAGGA